Molecule: long non-coding RNA, 992 nt
Organism: Mya arenaria
Lineage: Eukaryota; Metazoa; Mollusca; Bivalvia; Myida; Myidae
Exons: 4
Source: RefSeq, a predicted model, not a curated record
AUGAAAUUGAAUGUUACUUCGAACACGUUCUUCUACAAAAUAACCGACCUGUAUUUAGUGCUAUUGCUUAAACAUCAAUCGAAGCAAAAAUGGCAUCAAUGUAUGCGUCUAAAAAUGUUAAAUUUAGAUGGAGACAAUCCAGAAAUGAGCUGCCAGGAAGUGAUCGAUUUCGGACACGAAGAUUGAGAAGUGCCUGGAUACAAGGCUAGUAUUGUUAACAUCAUCUGAUACAAUCAACUGGAACAAAGCUGAAAUGGCUGCCUGACCUGACUUAAAAAUUGGAUGGCAGUACAUCAGACUAGAAGAUUACAAGUAUUGAGGUGGACAAAAUGAAACCUGAGCCUACCAAAGCUGACAGAUUGCACAAGAAACACAUAAAUGCAGAUUGGAAGACUCAUUCUUUCCAACAUACUGUUAUCACUGCCAUGACAGAAACCAUAUUGAGGAGCUGGUCCACCUGUAGGAAGAAUUGCGCUAUUGGUUGGAGCAGCACUAUUACCCAGCCAUACACCAGCACUUAGUUUGUCAUAGGGAGCAUUUCUGAGCAGUUAUGGAGCCCACUAACUAUGCAGUUGUUGCAGUGAAACUUGCAUUAGUGUGUUUUCUGUGGAGAUAAAGAGAUAGUGUCCAGCAAUGAAGACCCAACUCAAGAUCUGACCUUGUAAGGCCAAUAUAAAAUAACUGUGUGGGAAAAUGGGAAAAACCUGCAGUCAGGAAUGCACGAAAAUCAUCAAAAGAACAGUGUUAAAUUAAUCUUGAAUAACUUGACAUUUAUUUUGUUUGACAUAUUUAUUCAUGGUGCAGUGAAAACAUUCUUUUUUUCUCAUGGUUAUUUAAAUUUAGAAUUGAUAGGAGGGAACAUCACUAUGUAGUUUCAUGUUCAUAGUCAGAUCAAAACCCAUGUACUUGCCCAAAUGAGCAUUCGAAAAUAUCAAAAUGGUACUUGUUGUAUGUAGUGUAAGUUAAUUAACAUAAUAAACAAAAAUAUUUAA